CAGCCGCCACGGGAAUACGUAGGGUGCAAGCGUUAAUCGGAAUUACUGGGCGUAAAGCGUGCGCAGGCGGUUAUAUAAGACAGAUGUGAAAUCCCCGGGCUCAACCUGGGAACUGCAUUUGUGACUGUAUAGCUAGAGUACGGCAGAGGGGGAUGGAAUUCCGCGUGUAGCAGUGAAAUGCGUAGAUAUGCGGAGGAACACCGAUGGCGAAGGCAACCACCUGGGCCUGUACUGACGCUCAUGCACGAAAGCGUGGGGAGCAAACAGGAUUAGAUACCCCUGUAGUCCCUGUCUCUUAUAA
RNAcentral lists this ribosomal RNA (301 nucleotides) under uncultured bacterium. Its description in RNAcentral is "partial 16S ribosomal RNA". It matches the Rfam family "Bacterial small subunit ribosomal RNA", at positions 509 to 809 of the family's 1533-position model. The record is from RNAcentral.